CCUACGGGCGGCAGCAGUGAGGAAUAUUGGUCAAUGGACGGAAGUCUGAACCAGCCAAGCCGCGUGAAGGAAGACGGCUCUAUGAGUUGUAAACUUCUUUUGUAAAAGGGUAAACCUGAAUACGUGUAUUCAGCUGAAAGUACUUUACGAAUAAGGAUCGGCUAACUCCGUGCCAGCAGCCGCGGUAAUACGGAGGAUCCAAGCGUUAUCCGGAUUUAUUGGGUUUAAAGGGUGCGUAGGCGGGUUGUUAAGUCAGGGGUGAAAUGUCCGAGCUCAACACGGGAACUGCCUUUGAUACUGUCAGUCUCGAGUAGAGUUGAAGUAGGCGGAAUGUGUGGUGUAGCGGUGAAAUGCUUAGAGAUCAUGCAGAACUCCGAUUGCGAAGGCAGCUUACCAACCUGUAACUGACGUUGAGGCACGAAAGCGUGGGUAUCAAACAGGAUUAGAUACCCGAGUAGUC
This 460-nucleotide ribosomal RNA is filed under the name uncultured bacterium. Its description in RNAcentral is "partial 16S ribosomal RNA". It matches the Rfam family "Bacterial small subunit ribosomal RNA", at positions 338 to 795 of the family's 1533-position model. The record is from RNAcentral.